RNAcentral lists this ribosomal RNA (253 nucleotides) under uncultured bacterium. Its description in RNAcentral is "partial 16S ribosomal RNA". It matches the Rfam family "Bacterial small subunit ribosomal RNA", at positions 524 to 776 of the family's 1533-position model. The record is from RNAcentral.
UACGAAGGGGGCUAGCGUUGUUCGGAAUUACUGGGCGUAAAGCGCACGUAGGCGGCUUGGUAUGUCGGGUGUGAAAUCCCCGGGCUCAACCUGGGAACUGCAUCCGAAACUGCCUUGCUAGAGUAUGGGAGAGGGAAGUGGAAUUUCCGGUGUAGCGGUGAAAUGCGUAGAUAUCGGAAGGAACAUCAGUGGCGAAGGCGACUUCCUGGACCAAUACUGACGCUCAGGUGCGAAAGCGUGGGGAGCAAACAGG